AACGAACGCUGGCGGCAUGCCUAACACAUGCAAGUCGAACGAGACCUUCGGGUCUAGUGGCGCACGGGUGCGUAACGCGUGGGAAUCUACCCUUGGGUUCGGAAUAACAGUUAGAAAUGACUGCUAAUACCGGAUGAUGACGUAAGUCCAAAGAUUUAUCGCCCAAGGAUGAGCCCGCGUAAGAUUAGCUUGUUGGUGGGGUAAUGGCCUACCGAGGCGACGAUCUUUAGCUGGUCUGAGAGGAUGAUCAGCCACACUGGGACUGAGACACGGCCCAGACUCCUACGUGGGGCAGCAGUGGGGAAUAUUGGACAAUGGCCGAAAGCCUGAUCCAGCAAUGCCGCGUGAGUGAUGAAGGCCUUAGGGUUGUAAAGCUCUUUUACCAGGGAUGAUAAUGACAGUACCUGGAGAAUAAGCUCCGGCUAACUCCGUGCCAGCCGCCGCGGUAA
Molecule: ribosomal RNA, 449 nt
Filed under: uncultured bacterium
Lineage: Bacteria
Description: partial 16S ribosomal RNA
Rfam family: Bacterial small subunit ribosomal RNA
Source: RNAcentral